RNAcentral lists this ribosomal RNA (432 nucleotides) under uncultured archaeon. RNAcentral's name for it is "bacterial SSU rRNA". It matches the Rfam family "Archaeal small subunit ribosomal RNA", at positions 474 to 903 of the family's 1478-position model. The record is from RNAcentral.
AACCAGCUCUUCAAGUGGUCGGGAUAAUUAUUGGGCUUAAAGUGUCCGUAGCCGGUUUAGUAAGUUCCUGGUAAAAUCGGGUAGCUUAACUAUCUGCAUGCUAGGAAUACUGCUAUACUAGAGGGCGGGAGAGGUCUGAGGUACUACAGGGGUAGGGGUGAAAUCUUAUAAUCCUUGUAGGACCACCAGUGGCGAAGGCGUCAGACUGGAACGCGCCUGACGGUGAGGGACGAAAGCCAGGGGGAGCGAAACCGGAUUAGAUACCCGGGUAGUCCUGGCCGUAAACGAUGCAUACUAGGUGAUGGCACGGCCAUGAGCCAUGUCAGUGCCGUAGGGAAACCGUUAAGUGUGCCGCCUGGGAAGUACGGUCGCAAGGCUAAAACUCAAAGGAAUUGGGCGGGGGAGCACCACGAAGGGUGAAGCCUGCGGUUU